UUGGUGGGGUGAUGGCCUACCAAGGCGACGACGGGUAGCCGGCCUGAGAGGGCGACCGGCCACACUGGGACUGAGACACGGCCCAGACUCCUACGGGAGGCAGCAGUGGGGAAUAUUGCACAAUGGGCGGAAGCCUGAUGCAGCGACGCCGCGUGAGGGAUGACGGCCUUCGGGUUGUAAACCUCUUUCACCCAUGACGAAGCGCAAGUGACGGUAGUGGGAGAAGAAGCGCCGGCCAACUACGUGCCAGCAGCCGCGGUAAGACGUAGGGCGCGAGCGUUGUCCGGAUUUAUUGGGCGUAAAGAGCUCGUAGGCGGCUUGUCGCGUCGUCCGUGAAAACCUGCAGCUCAACUGCAGGCUUGCGGGCGAUACGGGCAGGCUAGAGUUCGGUAGGGGAGACUGGAAUUCCUGGUGUGGCGGUGAAAUGCGCAGAUAUCAGGAGGAACACCGGUGGCGAAGGCGGGUCUCUGGGCCGAUACUGACGCUGAGGAGCGAAAGCGUGGGGAGCGAACAGGAUUAGAUACCCUGGUAGUCCACGCUGUAAACGUUGGGCGCUAGGUGUGGGGGGCCUCUCCGGUUCUCUGUGCCGCAGCUAACGCAUUAAGCGCCCCGCCUGGGGAGUACGG
RNAcentral lists this ribosomal RNA (626 nucleotides) under uncultured bacterium. RNAcentral's name for it is "bacterial SSU rRNA". It matches the Rfam family "Bacterial small subunit ribosomal RNA", at positions 249 to 885 of the family's 1533-position model. The record is from RNAcentral.